GUGCCAGCCGCCGCGGUAAUACCGGCAGCUCGAGUGAUGACCGCUUUUAUUGGGCCUAAAGCGUCCGUAGCCUGCCAGACGGGUCCGUCGGGAAAUCCACAUGCCUAACAUGUGGGCGUCCGGCGGAAACUAGCUGGCUUGGGACCGGAAGACCCAGAGGGUACGUCCGGGGUAGGAGUGAAAUCCUGUAAUCCUGGACGGACCGCCGGUGGCGAAAGCGCUCUGGGAAGACGGAUCCGACGGUGAGGGACGAAAGCUUGGGUCACGAACCGGAUUAGAAACCCGAGUAGUCC
Molecule: ribosomal RNA, 293 nt
Filed under: uncultured bacterium
Lineage: Bacteria
Description: partial 16S ribosomal RNA
Rfam family: Archaeal small subunit ribosomal RNA
Source: RNAcentral